CUUUGGGAGGGCGCGGUGUGGGGUCGGUGUCGCCCUGCGCCGCAACCGGGACGGAACCGCGCAGUCAUUGACUGCGCGGUCGGGGAGGGGUCUUGGCCGCAAGGCUAAGGCAGCUCUCCGGAGAUGGCUUGGCGGGGGAGCGGCGGGACGGCAUGGGAUUUCAGCAUCCUCGCCGUCCUCUAUCCAACGCCCGAGAUGGACACCCGCUGGGGUUUUAGUGAGGUAGGUCUUGGGCCCCCUGGUCGAACCAUUCGUGGCUCGACCAAGGGGAACAAGGAGUCCCACAUAACCCACACCCCUACCCGGGGGUGUGUGGUAGCAUGACCGUUUCCCCAGCGUCACAAAAAAAAAGGUGAUGACAGCAUCCGGAUGGAAGUGUCCCACAAAGAAUUCUCAGGAGUCUCUAAAGAAUCCCCAGGAACAUGAUACAGUCAGUAGGAAGCCAAUUGCCAACGCAGGUCUAGAAACAUCCGCAGAGCAUUUCUCCAACUUAAGGCGAUGUAUGCACAUUCAUCAAAGCACCAAAAUUUACACAUUUAUAAUUAUAACGUCAAUAUAUAUUUAUCCAUUGUUUAUAAUGGACAAAUCAUCAUCAUCUCAUCACGAUGCUACACAGUAAGGUCAUAACUGACCCUAAAUGACAAAAAACGUCUGAAAUAUGCAAGGAUGAAAUCAAUCAACACAUACGUUCCAUAUAUGUAUAUGUGUAAUUACUGAAGAUCAUCUUAUCAAGACUAAUCAGCAAAUUAUAGUGUACAAAAGGAUCAGAUUAGUAUAUCACAAUAUAAUUAGUUAAUAUUUCACUACAAUUCUGACACAAUAAUCUUUUAAUAUUUGAGUAUUCAACUAUUAUCAUAUAAGUCUAUGAAAAGUCUGUCCAUGAUAUAACACAAGUACUAAAUACUAGAUAAUAAGUAUUUAAAUUAUGUCCAUAUAUAUUCAAUGCUCAUUUAAGACCUAAUAAGCAAAUUCAUUGUCCCCUCCAAGUCCUGCACAAAAAGACUAUCAAACUGACCUUUAAUGCAAGAGUCUAGUAUCUAAUUAAUAAUCCAUAAGAUUACUAUUGUCUUUACAAUAUGAAAAUGUAUUUCACCAUCACAGGCUAUAUUAACCUGUUAUAACGAUAUCUAAAUAUUAAAGUUUAUUAACAAUAUUCAAAUAUUGAAAUUUACGAUAUCUAAAACAAGGAUCUUUUAGUCAUUGACAACUUGUAUAGUGAAAUAACUUUGCAUAUCUCAGCACAUAUUUCUACUUAUUCACUACACACAAUAACAAUUGUUUCACUUAUCUAGGUGAUGACAACAACCAGAUGGUAAAUCGCCAGAAGUCUAAUAAAUCUCAGGAGCAUUAUACAAGCCAUGAGUGAUCAUGAUUUCCAAGAGGUCCAUAUCCACAACGUAUUUCACCGACUUAAGAUAAUAUAUGCAUAUAUAUCAAAACACCAGUAUGCACAUAUUAAUUAUUUUCAUAACUCAAAUUCUGAAGAGAACGUGUUAUAUUGCAACAACAACCUCCUACAUAUGAGUCUUAUUUCACUUGGAAUACAGAAUUUCAUUUAUCCGAACAGAACAAUGAUCAAGCUAAGUUUUCCAUCACACUCCACAUAUAAUUUUAACCAGAAUUAGUUAUAUAUAACAUAUCUGAUAUCAAUAAUACUGAAUUAAUGAAAUAACGAAACUAAUUGUUCAGUGAUAUUAACAAUAGAAUAAUAUAAUAAUUAUUCCCUGUAACACAUCACAGUUCAAAUACAGAAGUAGAAGAAAAAGUCACAGCCAUUUUACUACUAAUUCACAGUUUAUUAAUUAUCAUUAAUUAACAAACUAGAAGUCUAUUCAAUUUUAAAGACAGAUACUAAUCCGAUUUAUAUAUUUCAGUAAAUCCUGAAGAGAGCAUGUUGUAUUGCAAUUACAACUUUCAAUGUUUAGAUUAAAGGAAAGUCACAGUUAUUUUGGUCGAAACAUUAUUCAAUCAGUGCAGUCUUAUAUCCGAAAUCAGACCAUUAAAUACAAUAAUAAUGAUUAUUUAUUAUAACACAUCACAAUGCAGAUGCAAAAUAGAAGAAAGUCACGACUGUAUUAUUAUUAUUUCACAACUUAUUGUUUAUCAUUGACUAAUUAAUUAAAAUCUAUUCAAUUUAAAGUCAGAUACUAAUUUAACUGGUCUAUUUCAGUAAGUUCGAUAUACCUAGUAUUGUUAAUAUUAAAUCAUGUCCACAAGAAGUUCAUCAUACAGCAAAUAACUAUUUAACACCAUAUUCCAAAUUAGAAUAAUAAUAUUGUUUUAUUCAACAGGGUCCCAUUCAGAGUCUAAAGAUGACAUCAGAGCAAUCAUCAUCAAUUUUAAUACAUCCGACUUAACGAAAUACAUAUACCGUAUAAAUAUACACAUAUGUAAAUCUUGGAAUGAAAAGCGACAAUAUCCUCCUCCAGAAGAGCAACAAAUAUGACAGAAGCACUAAUAGGACUUAUCAUUAGAAAGUUUCUUAUACGAUUAUCAAUCCAGACUAAUUGAAGUAAAUAAUGCAUAUCAAUGUCUAUUAUCACAUUAAUAAUAAAGUCACUAAUUAUCAGACCAAUAACUAAUUGUUAAACCAAUAACUAUUUAAUUAACCUAGUAUUCUUAUAAGGUAUUCAUAUUCCUUAAUUUGUCCAUAAAUCUUAUAUCUUAUUAAUUAAUAAUUAAUAUGGUCACUCAUAACUGUGUCACUGAUAUUAUUCAGUUGUUAUAUAAAUCAAAUUUCCGCGGUUUAUUAUAAUGACCAAUGACAGAUUGACAGCAAGUAUAAGCCAAGCUGCUAACCCACUUGAGCACGCGCGCACUGCGCAAAGCAUGUGCGCCACGAUGAUCGACUGCCACGUGUUAAUUACUUCAAUACGCUUAAUUAAGUCAAAAUGUCAAAAAUUUAAUAUAGUUCACCUAAAAGUAUUUAUAUAAUUAUAAAUCUAUUGAACAGAAGGCAUAGGA
Molecule: long non-coding RNA, 2964 nt
Organism: Nylanderia fulva
Lineage: Eukaryota; Metazoa; Arthropoda; Insecta; Hymenoptera; Formicidae
Source: RefSeq, a predicted model, not a curated record